RNAcentral lists this ribosomal RNA (371 nucleotides) under uncultured bacterium. Its description in RNAcentral is "bacterial SSU rRNA". It matches the Rfam family "Bacterial small subunit ribosomal RNA", at positions 527 to 896 of the family's 1533-position model. The record is from RNAcentral.
GUAGGGUGCGAGCGUUAAUCGGAAUUACUGGGCGUAAAGCGUGCGCAGGCGGCGGCUCCAGUCAGGUGUGAAAUCCCCGGGCUUAACCUGGGAAUUGCGCUUGAUACUAGGUCGCUAGAGUGUGGCAGAGGGGGGUGGAAUUCCACGUGUAGCAGUGAAAUGCGUAGAGAUGUGGAGGAACACCGAUGGCGAAGGCAGCCCCCUGGGUCAACACUGACGCUCAGGCACGAAAGCGUGGGGAGCAAACAGGAUUAGAUACCCUGGUAGUCCACGCCCUAAACGAUGUCGACUGGGUGUUGGGGAAGGAGACUUCCUUAGUACCGCAGCUAACGCGUGAAGUCGACCGCCUGGGGAGUACGGUCGCAAGAUUA